AUUGAACGCUGGCGGCAUGCCUUACACAUGCAAGUCGAACGGCAGCACGGGGGCAACCCUGGCGGCGAGUGGCGAACGGGUGAGUAAUAUAUCGGAACGUGCCCAGUCGUGGGGGAUAACGUAGCGAAAGUUACGCUAAUACCGCAUACGAUCUACGGAUGAAAGCGGGGAUCGCAAGACCUCGCGCGAUUGGAGCGGCCGAUAUCAGAUUAGGUAGUUGGUGGGGUAAGGCUCACCAAGCCAACGAUCUGUAGCUGGUCUGAGAGGACGACCAGCCACACUGGGACUGAGACACGGCCCAGACUCCUACGGGAGGCAGCAGUGGGGAAUUUUGGACAAUGGGCGCAAGCCUGAUCCAGCCAUUCCGCGUGCAGGACGAAGGCCUUCGGGUUGUAAACUGCUUUUGUACGGAACGAAAAAGCCUUGGCUAAUACCCAGGGUCCAUGACGGUACCGUAAGAAUAAGCACCGGCUAACUACGUGCCAGCCGCCGCCGUAA
This 498-nucleotide ribosomal RNA is filed under the name uncultured bacterium. RNAcentral describes it as "partial 16S ribosomal RNA". It matches the Rfam family "Bacterial small subunit ribosomal RNA", at positions 30 to 523 of the family's 1533-position model. The record is from RNAcentral.